AGGCACAUCUUCUAAUGGUCAGGAAGCUACCCUGAUAAGGUAGUAAUCUCAGUUCAAUUCUGGGUGUGCCUA
This 72-nucleotide transfer RNA is filed under the name Caudoviricetes sp. RNAcentral's name for it is "tRNA-Ile". It matches the Rfam family "tRNA". From Rfam's summary of the family: Transfer RNA (tRNA) molecules are approximately 80 nucleotides in length. Their secondary structure includes four short double-helical elements and three loops (D, anti-codon, and T loops). The record is from RNAcentral. Lineage: Duplodnaviria; Heunggongvirae; Uroviricota; Caudoviricetes.